CCUACGGGUGGCAGCAGUGAGGAAUAUUGGUCAAUGGACGAGAGUCUGAACCAGCCAAGUAGCGUGAAGGAUGACUGCCCUAUGGGUUGUAAACUUCUUUUAUAUGGGAAUAAAACAGGGUAUGCCUACCCUCUUGUACGUACCAUAUGAAUAAGGAUCGGCUAACUACGUGACAGCAGCCGCGGUAAUAAGGAGGAUCCGAGCGGUAUCCGGAGUUAUUGGGUUUAACGGGAGCGUAGGUGGAUUGUUAAGUCAGUUGUGAAAGUUUGCGGCUCAACCGUAAAAUGACAGUUGAAACUGGCAGUCUUGAGUGCAGUAGAGGUAAGCGGAAUUCGUGGUGUAGCGGUGAAAUGCUUAGAUAUCACGAAGAACUCCGAUUGCGAAGGCAGCUCACUGGACUGCAACUGACACUGAUGCUCGAAAGUGUGGGUAUCAAACAGGAUUAGAUACCAGUGUAGUC
Molecule: ribosomal RNA, 460 nt
Filed under: uncultured bacterium
Lineage: Bacteria
Description: partial 16S ribosomal RNA
Rfam family: Bacterial small subunit ribosomal RNA
Source: RNAcentral